UAGGGAAUCUUCGGCAAUGGACGGAAGUGUGACCGAGCAACGCCGCGUGAUUGAAGAAGGUUUUCGGAUCGUAAAGCUCUGUUGUUAGAGAAGAACGUUGGUAGGAGUGGAAAAUCUACCAAGUGACGGUAACUAACCAGAAAGGGACGGCUAACUACGUGCCAGCAGCCGCGGUAAUACGUAGGUCCCGAGCGUUGUCCGGAUUUAUUGGGCGUAAAGCGAGCGCAGGCGGUUCUUUAAGUCUGAAGUUAAAGGCAGUGGCUUAACCAUUGUACGCUUUGGAAACUGGAGGAAUUGAGUGCAGAAGGGGAGAGUGGAAUUCCAUGUGUCACGGUGAAAUGCGUAGAUAUAUGGAGGAACACCGGUGGCGAAAGCGGCUCUCUGGUCUGUAACUGACGCUGAGGCUUGAAAGCGUGGGGAGCAAACAGG
This 429-nucleotide ribosomal RNA is filed under the name Bacillota bacterium. RNAcentral describes it as "Firmicutes bacterium partial 16S ribosomal RNA". It matches the Rfam family "Bacterial small subunit ribosomal RNA", at positions 355 to 776 of the family's 1533-position model. Lineage: Bacteria; Bacillati; Bacillota. The record is from RNAcentral.